GUAGAGGUGGUUCAGUGGCAGAAUUCUCACCUUCCAUGUGGGAGACCCAGGUUCGAUUCCCAGCCAGUGCU
This 71-nucleotide transfer RNA is filed under the name Loxodonta africana (African savanna elephant). It matches the Rfam family "tRNA". From Rfam's summary of the family: Transfer RNA (tRNA) molecules are approximately 80 nucleotides in length. The record is from Rfam by way of RNAcentral. Lineage: Eukaryota; Metazoa; Chordata; Mammalia; Proboscidea; Elephantidae.